RNAcentral lists this ribosomal RNA (710 nucleotides) under uncultured anaerobic ammonium-oxidizing bacterium. RNAcentral describes it as "bacterial SSU rRNA". It matches the Rfam family "Bacterial small subunit ribosomal RNA", at positions 358 to 1051 of the family's 1533-position model. The record is from RNAcentral.
AGAAUCUUUCGCAAUGCCCGAAAGGGUGACGAAGCGACGCCGCGUGUGGGAAGAAGGCCUUCGGGUUGUAAACCACUGUCGGGAGUUAAGAGAUGUAAGGAUGUUAAUAGCGUCCUUACUUGACUAAGGCUCCGGAGGAAGCCACGGCUAACUCUGCGCCAGCAGCCGCGGUAAUACAGAGGCGGCAAGCGUUGUUCGGAAUUAUUGGGCGUAAAGAGCACGUAGGCGGCCUUGAAAGUCAGUUGUGAAAGCCUUCUGCUUAACGGAAGAACAGCAUCUGAUACUACAGGGCUUGAGUGCGGGAGGGGAGAGUGGAACUUCUGGUGGAGCGGUGAAAUGCGUAGAUAUCAGAAGGAACGCCGGCGGCGAAAGCGGCUCUCUGGCUCGUAACUGACGCUGAGUGUGCGAAAGCUAGGGGAUCAAACGGGAUUAGAUACCCCGGUAGUCCUAGCCGUAAACGAUGGGCACUAAGUAGAGGGGUUUUGAUUAUCUCUCUGCCGGAGCUAACGCAUUAAGUGCCCCGCCUGGGAAGUACGGCCGCAAGGCUAAAACUCAAAAGAAUUGACGGGGGCUCGCACAAGCGGUGGAGCAUGUGGCUUAAUUCGAUGCAACGCGAAGAACCUUACCGGGGUUUGACAUGGUAGAAGUAGGAACCAGAAACGGUAACGAACGGUAUCCAGUCCGUAACUAUCACAGGUGUUGCAUGGCUG